This 492-nucleotide ribosomal RNA is filed under the name uncultured bacterium. RNAcentral describes it as "partial 16S ribosomal RNA". It matches the Rfam family "Bacterial small subunit ribosomal RNA", at positions 28 to 507 of the family's 1533-position model. The record is from RNAcentral.
AGUGAACGCUGGCGGUGGGCCUAACACAUGCAAGUCGAACGGCAGCACAGUAAGAGCUUGCUCUUACGGGUGGCGAGUGGCGGACGGGUGAGGAAGACAUCGGAAUCUACUUUUUCGUGGGGGAGAACGUAGGGAAACUUACGCGAAUACCGCAUACGACCUACGGGUGAAAGCAGGGGAGCUUCGGACCUUGCGCGAGUGAAGGAGCCGAUGUCGGAUUAGCUAGUUGGCGGGGUAAAGGCCCACCAAGGCGACGAUCCGUAGCUGGUCUGAGAGGAUGAUCCGCCCCACUGGCCCUGCGACCCGGUCCAGCCUCCUACGGGCGUCCGCCGUGGGGCCUCUUGGCCCCUGGGCGCACGCCUGCUCCCGCCCUACCGCGUGGGUGAAGAAGGCCUUCGGGUUGUACAGCCCUUUUGUUGGGACCGCAAAGCCGCAGGUUAAUCCCCCGCUGUUCUGCCGGUCCCCCCCGCAUCCGCACCGGCUAACUUCUUG